AUUGAUUAGUGGCGCACGGGUGAGUAAUGCAUAGAUAACAUGCCCUUUAGUUUGGGGAUAGCCACUAGAAAUGGUGAUUAAAUACCAGAUACUACCUUACGGGGGAAAGAUUUAUCGCUAAAGGAUUGGUCUAUGUCCUAUCAGCUUGUUGGUGAGAUAAAGGCUCACCAAGGCUAUGACGGGUAUCCGGCCUGAGAGGGUGAACGGACACACUGGAACUGAGACACGGUCCAGACUCAUACGGGAGGCAGCAGUAGGGAAUAUUGCUCAAUGGGGGAAACCCUGAAGCAGCAACGCCGUCGUGGAGGAUGAAGGUUUUAGGAUGUAAACUCCUUUGUUAGUAGUGGUAUA
Molecule: ribosomal RNA, 351 nt
Filed under: uncultured Helicobacter sp.
Lineage: Bacteria; Pseudomonadati; Campylobacterota; Epsilonproteobacteria; Campylobacterales; Helicobacteraceae
Description: bacterial SSU rRNA
Rfam family: Bacterial small subunit ribosomal RNA
Source: RNAcentral